Molecule: long non-coding RNA, 1285 nt
Organism: Bombus huntii
Lineage: Eukaryota; Metazoa; Arthropoda; Insecta; Hymenoptera; Apidae
Exons: 5
Source: RefSeq, a predicted model, not a curated record
CUAGCCUCCUCUGUUGAAUCAGAACAAUAAUCGCUGUCAGGAGCGUGACUCGAUUUACGAGAGAAGAGGUUAAGAGAAAAAGCGAUUUGUACGCGUACUAUACGUAAUACGUGCAUGGUAUUUUGUCGAAAACACGCGAGAGAAGCUUAAAAAGAAUAUCAACGCGCAACAAAAUAAUUUGUCGAGAUCUGGAACUGAUUUGUCUUUGCAUCGAGCCCUUCAACUGCCAUCGUACGUAAUACUCGAUGAAGCCGAAAGUAUUUUACGAGAAUACAGGAGGCAAUUCGUUAGGCGAAUAUUUUACAAUUAUCUUUGUAUUGUCUUUGUAUUCUAUCGAUCGAGAAAAGUACAAAAGAGAGAUUUUACCAACGAUGCCGUAUAUUUUAUGAAUGAAACGCUUGUUUCAGCUACGCGUAUGCUGUUUCAGAGAUCCAUCGUUCCACUCUUUUCGCAUCUGAGAGCAUUCCUUUGUAUUGUCGAAGCAAUUACUCUCUUGGAGUGGUUGAACGUUUCUGAAAAUUAUUUUGUCGAUACGAGCCUAAACGUAGCAGGCCCAUCAGCAAUUCUACGCAUCCAGCAAGAAAACAAAAGAGCACGAUAAAAUCCACUGGCAUGUUUCUUGUAUAUUCGAAGGUAAGUAGCGACAUCAAGGACGAAGGACCAAUCGAUACUUCUUUGAUCGUUCCCAAAAAGAUGUAGACAAAGUUGCCCAUUAGACACGAAUAAAGACCAUACUGCAAAGAAUUGGACGCUUUAUAAUUUGUACGUUUAUGUGAUCGAACGCGGCAAGUAUGAAGAGUAAACAGUAAUGAAUUAACAUCGGGCGUAAUCGUUGUGUUUCUGUCUGUCCAGAAUAAUCUCGCAGAUGGUUUUAGAAAAUCUGGCUCUUGCGUAAAUUCACGUGCGAGGUUCCCAUCGGAAUUGUAAUGACACGUAACCAAGAAAAAGGUAACAAAAGCGAGAAAUCAAAGUCGAACGAUUCGAGCGAGUGAAAACUGAGUAUCGACGAUAUGAAAACCUUACAGAUCGGCGAUAACUAUCUUUUGCUUCUAAGAAUCUGAAGAUUGGAAUCACGAUAGCCAUAGAAAAGUGCGAGAGAAAUGUUCGAAUACCUCGGUAUUGAUGGGCGAAUCAUCGUCGAUGGGACGAACAAGAUAAGAUGUAAAUAAUAGUAAACAACAAUAUAUUCAAGCAAUGGCGCGAUAUGAUAACUAGAUAGGGGUGAGAACGAAGAAAAUUUCUCGAUCGACCAAGUAAGGAGUAAAGAGUAAAAAUAUACCUGAGC